RNAcentral lists this unclassified non-coding RNA (206 nucleotides) under uncultured Boletopsis. RNAcentral describes it as "sequence contains ITS2". Lineage: Eukaryota; Fungi; Basidiomycota; Agaricomycetes; Thelephorales; Thelephoraceae. The record is from RNAcentral.
AAUUCUCAACUGCCUUGGCUUUUUGUGCCAAAGUGAAGUUGGAUUUUGGAGGUUUUGUUGCUGGCAAUGGAGCGUCUGAUGAUUGGGAUGCUUGCUUGUUGGCUCCUCCUAAACGCAUAUGCAGAGCUUGGCAAAGCGGCGUCGACGUGAUAAUUAUCUACGUUGUCGCUGAAGUGUGCAGAUCUGCUUGUGGCCUUUUGAACAAU